UCAUCAUUUAAAACUUAAUUAAAAGUUAAUUAAAGGGGUUAUUAAGGAAAACUAAGGCAAAUUUAUACAUAUAAGGAGGGUACAUCCCAAAAGCUUAAAAAAAUCUUAAAAUUUAAGGUUUUAAAUACAUUUAAGCGAUCCUAAGGUAAACCUUAAUAAUUAAUUACUUCCUGAAGUAAAACAUUUCAGUAGGGAAAGGAAAGGAAAUCAACCGAGACUCCGAGAGUAAUGGUGAGUGAAAUCGGACUAGCCUAUAAAAAUAUUAUAAUAUAAAUUGAAAAAAUAAAAUCAAUAAUUGUGUUGAUUUUUCUAAAAAAGGUCAAAAACUAUAAGUCCUGUAGGUUUAUAUUUUAUAUUAAAACAAAACAUUGUUGCCGACGCCCCUACCUACCCUUUGGGUAGGUAGGGCUAGGUAAUACACUACCCCUUUGGGGUAGGGUAAUACCCUUCGUUGCGGAGCAAAAUAAGUACGAUGAGAGAUAACUUGUCGGAAAAAAGGGGAACCAUCCUCUAAGGCUAAGUAUUAUAAAUUUAGCGAUAGUGAAAAAGUACUGUGAAGGAAAAGUUUGAAAAGCGAGUAGUAUACACAAAAUAAGUUUAUAAUGAUUAAAUUAUAAAUGAAUUGGUGAAAUAGAUCAUGAAUUAGUAACUCUAUAAGCAGUCGGAAUUCUUUAAAAAAUUUAGAAUGACGGCGUACCUUUUGCAUAAUGGGUCAGCAACUUAAUAGUAGUAGCAAGGUUAAAAGCCUUAGCGAAAGCGACUGGAUAAAAAUAAAUAUCAGUAACAGAUAUUGAAAACUAUGAUGGGUAAGUUACUACUAUUAGACCCGAAGCCAGGUGAUCUUACUUAGACCAGAUUAUAAUGGAUCGAACGGGUGAAUGUUGCAUAAUUCUCCGAAGAGUUUAAGUAAGCGGUGAAAUGCCAAUCUGACCUGGUGCUAGCUGGUUUUCUACGAAACAUAUUUAAGUAUGACAUCUACCUAACCUCGGCUUGGCAGCGUGCCCUACCCCUACCCCUUUGGGUAGGGGUAGGGUAGCUGCCAACAGCCGAGGUGAGUCGAACUUACAGCCUUUGUUGUUGGCGGCUCUGCCGCCAAGAGCCAAGUAAAAUAAGAAGACUUAUAGAUUUAUGGAGGUACAGCAAGGCAAUUCCCAACAAGUAAAAUUUUAGCCUUAAGGCUAAAAUUUUUAUGCGUUCAGGUUGCGGGGACCUAGAAAAUCUUACCUUUGGAAGCGAAUCUCGGAAUUACAUAAAUUGAUGGUAGAUAUUCAGACUGCUCAAGCUAAGUUGGGCAGUCAAGACGGAAACAGCCGAGAACACUGAUCAAGGUCCCAAAUGAUUGUUAAGUGAAAUUAAGGACGUAUGACUAUCGUAUACAGCUGUGAAGUGAGCCUGGCAGUCGCUACUUAUAAUGAACGUUUGUAACAACGCAUCAGCAGUCUUUAAUAUGCAAGUAUUAAAAAUAGAUACUAGCGCCGAAAAUUUAACGGGUCUUAAACAAUCAACCGAUAUCGUGUUGGUUAACUAGGUUCUAUAUUAGAAGCUAGUUAAUCUAGGUAGUAGAACAUUCAGUCAAACUAAUGAUAAUACAGUGUUUCAUUGUAUUUUAGGUUACUGAAGAGAUAAUGCUGACAUGAGUAACGUAAAAAGAAGUUAUAAUACUUCUCGCCGAAUACGAAAGGGUUUCAAAUAAGAAAGGUUAAUCCACUUUGAUUUAAUGCGGCCUCUAAGGAUAAUAGCUAAAGCUAUGACUGAUGAGUAUAAAAUAGAAAGUCUGACUCGCUGACAAUAUACUUAUUUUUAUAGGUAUAUUUAUAAAGCAUAGACCAGGAAAUUAAUAUUUUAUUAUACUACCGUACCCUAAACCGACACAGGUUCGUAGGUAGAGAAUACUAAGGCGUAGAGCUAAAAGUUGUUAAGGAACUCGGCAAGUUCACCUGCAUAAAUUUGAGUAGCCAUGCAUAAGUUAGACGAAAAGAGGUACCGCAUAAAUUUAUUCAAAUUAAAUUAGAGCGGUGGCACAGAAUCGGAGGCCCCGACUGUUUACUAAAAACACAUCACAGUGCAAUCAUUAAUAUGAUAGUAUACUGUGUGAAAUUUGCCCGAUGCCAUUAAUAUAAGAACGGUCAUUAAUAAAAGUGACUUAUCGAAAAUCUGGUUAAUAGCGGUCUUAACUAUGAGGAUCCUAAGGUAGCAAAAUCAGUUGGCCAUUAAAUGUGGUCCGGUAUCAAUAAUGUAACGAUGGUCUCACUGUCUCUACAACUUGCUCAGUGAAAUUGAAUUACGCGUGCAGAUGCGCGUUACCUCCAGGGGGACGGGAAGACCCUAUGCAGCUUUACUGUAGUUAGUUAUCAUAUGAAUCUAGAACAAUCUUAAUUCAGAGAGAAUAGGGAAGUCGAAAUUUCAGUAACAAUUUUGCGAUUAUUGCUGGAUGUUAGACAAAUAUUGGGAACCUUACAAUUAAGAUUGGGUUUGUGUUUACCUUUUUAAAGAAAGGGAUAGUUGACUAAUUGGCAGUUUGACUGGGGCGGUCGUCUUUAAUAGAGUAGCAAAGUACAACCAAAUAUUUUUACUAUUAUACUUUACUUUAUUAUAUUUUUAUUUUAAAGUAAAACUAACAAAUAAAUUAGCAAGCUAAAGCUAGUUAUAAAAUAACCAUAAAUUUUAUAAGGUAUAGCUAGAAAUUGAAUGGAGAUCAAUCAACCAGUGAAGGGUUGCGCAGAGUUCAAUGGCGGUAAGCAUGCUUAACUGAAAGACUCAAAAGUCGCACAGAUACGUAAGUAGGGCAUAGUGACCCCUCGCUAUAGAAUGGGAUAGACGAGGAUCAAUUGAUAAAAGUUACGCUAGGGAUAACAGGCUGAUAGCCGACGAGAGUACACAUUGUCUCGGCUGUUUGGCACCUCGAUGUCGACUCAUCCUAUCCUCCGGGGGAAGAAGCUUGGAAGGGUUCGGCUGUUCGCCGAUUAAAAGGGUACGUGAGUUGGGUUUAAUACGACGUGAGUCAGUAUGGUCCCUAUCUUCUGGAGGAAUAAUUAGUAAAAAGGGGCAGACCUUCUAGUACGAAAGGACCAAUAGGCUGUGUUUCUCUAGUGUACCAAUUGUUUUUAAUUAUUGAAUUGUAAUGAACGCAUAGUUGGGUAGCCACAAACAUAAUAGAUAAGUGCUGAAUGUCUAUCAAGCAAGAAUCUAACCCCUAGAUACUAAAUGGUUUAUAUUAUAAACCUUAAUUGAGAAAUAGAACAUUUCUAGAUAGGCUGCGAAUGAAAGUACUGUAAAGUAUUUAGUUUAGCAGUACUAAUUUAUAAAAA
RNAcentral lists this ribosomal RNA (3308 nucleotides) under Macrolepiota fuliginosa. RNAcentral's name for it is "large subunit ribosomal RNA". It matches the Rfam family "Bacterial large subunit ribosomal RNA". Lineage: Eukaryota; Fungi; Basidiomycota; Agaricomycetes; Agaricales; Agaricaceae. The record is from RNAcentral.